RNAcentral lists this ribosomal RNA (612 nucleotides) under uncultured bacterium. RNAcentral's name for it is "bacterial SSU rRNA". It matches the Rfam family "Bacterial small subunit ribosomal RNA", at positions 338 to 951 of the family's 1533-position model. The record is from RNAcentral.
CCUACGGGAGGCAGCAGUGAGGAAUAUUGGACAAUGGGCGCAAGCCUGAUCCAGCCAUGCCGCGUGCAGGAUGACGGUCCUAUGGAUUGUAAACUGCUUUUGCACAGGAAGAAACAACAUUACGUGUAAUGUCUUGACGGUACUGUGAGAAUAAGGAUCGGCUAACUCCGUGCCAGCAGCCGCGGUAAUACGGAGGAUCCAAGCGUUAUCCGGAAUCAUUGGGUUUAAAGGGUCCGUAGGCGGUUUAGUAAGUCAGUGGUGAAAGCCCAUCGCUCAACGGUGGAACGGCCAUUGAUACUGCUAGACUUGAAUUAUUAGGAAGUAACUAGAGUAUGUAGUGUAGCGGUGAAAUGCUUAGAGAUUACAUGGAAUACCAAUUGCGAAGGCAGGUUACUACUAAUUGAUUGACGCUGAUGGACGAAAGCGUGGGUAGCGAACAGGAUUAGAUACCCUGGUAGUCCACGCCGUAAACGAUGGAUACUAGCUGUUGGGAGCGGAUCUCAGUGGCUAAGCGAAAGUGAUAAGUAUCCCACCUGGGGAGUACGUUCGCAAGAAUGAAACUCAAAUGAAUUGACCGGNUUGAGAGNGCGAGGACGACGACGAGGGAGGAGG